GAUGAAGAACGCAGCGAAAUGCGAUAAGUAAUGUGAAUUGCAGAAUUCAGUGAAUCAUCGAAUCUUUGAACGCACAUUGCGCCCGCCAGUAUUCUGGCGGGCAUGCCUGUUCGAGCGUCAUUUCAACCCUCAAGCCCAGCUUGGUGUUGGGGAUCGGCACAGGCGCCCUCGGGCGCCCGCCGUCCCCUAAAUCUAGUGGCGGUCCCGCUGCAGCCUCCUCUGCGUAGUAGUUUUCUCCUCGCAAGGGCAGCUCGGUGGCGACCUCGCCGUAAAACCCCCAACUUCUGAAAGGUUGACCUCGAAUCAGGUAGGAAUACCCGCUGAACUUAAGCAUAUCAAUAACGGAGGA
This 349-nucleotide unclassified non-coding RNA is filed under the name soil metagenome. RNAcentral describes it as "partial contains 5.8S ribosomal RNA, internal transcribed spacer 2, and large subunit ribosomal RNA". The stretch from base 1 to 120 matches the Rfam family "5.8S ribosomal RNA", at positions 35 to 154 of the family's 154-position model. The record is from RNAcentral.